Strigops habroptila (Kakapo) is the source of this 100-nucleotide long non-coding RNA. RefSeq lists it as uncharacterized. The transcript is spliced from 3 exons. The record is from RefSeq and is a predicted model, not a curated record. NCBI's taxonomy places the organism in Eukaryota, Metazoa, Chordata, Aves, Psittaciformes, Psittacidae.
CCCAGCUCUGCAGGAAGUAAAGAGGUAGAGAACUCAGGAGUGAAGUUAAGCCCAGGAAGCAGGGAGGGGUGGCGAAAAGGUGUUUUUUAAGAUUUGGAUU